GAUGAACGCUAGCUACAGGCUUAACACAUGCAAGUCGAGGGGCAGCAUCAUCAAAGCUUGCUUUGAUGGAUGGCGACCGGCGCACGGGUGAGUAACACGUAUCCAACCUGCCGACAACACUGGGAUAGCCUUUCGAAAGAAAGAUUAAUACCGGAUGGUAUAGUUUUCCCGCAUGGAUGAUUAUUAAAGAAUUUCGGUUGUCGAUGGGGAUGCGUUCCAUUAGGCAGUUGGCGGGGUAACGGCCCACCAAACCUACGAUGGAUAGGGGUUCUGAGAGGAAGGUCCCCCACAUUGGAACUGAGACACGGUCCAAACUCCUACGGGAGGCAGCAGUGAGGAAUAUUGGUCAAUGGACGAGAGUCUGAACCAGCCAAGUAGCGUGAAGGAUGACUGCCCUAUGGGUUGUAAACUUCUUUUAUACGGGAAUAAAGUGAGCCACGUGUGGCUUUUUGUAUGUACCGUAUGAAUAAGGAUCGGCUAACUCCGUGCCAGCAGCCGCGGUAAUACGGAGGAUCCGAGCGUUAUCCGGAUUUAUUGGGUUUAAAGGGAGCGUAGGCGGGUUGUUAAGUCAGUUGUGAAAGUUUGCGGCUCAACCGUAAAAUUGCAGUUGAUACUGGCGACCUUGAGUGCAACAGAGGUAGGCGGAAUUCGUGGUGUAGCGGUGAAAUGCUUAGAUAUCACGAAGAACUCCGAUUGCGAAGGCAGCUUACUGGAUUGUAACUGACGCUGAUGCUCGAAAGUGUGGGUAUCAAACAGGAUUAGAUACCCUGGUAGUCCACACAGUAAACGAUGAAUACUCGCUGUUGGCGAUAUACAGUCAGCGGCCAAGCGAAAGCAUUAAGUAUUCCACCUGGGGAGUACGCCGGCAACGGUGAAACUCAAAGGAAUUGACGGGGGCCCGCACAAGCGGAGGAACAUGUGGUUUAAUUCGAUGAUACGCGAGGAACCUUACCCGGGCUUAAAUUGCAACUGACGGAACCGGAAACGGUUCUUUCUUCGGACAGUUGUGAAGGUGCUGCAUGGUUGUCGUCAGCUCGUGCCGUGAGGUGUCGGCUUAAGUGCCAUAACGAGCGCAACCCUUACGGGUAGUUACCAUCAGGUUAUGCUGGGGACUCUACCCGGACUGCCGUCGUAAGAUGUGAGGAAGGUGGGGAUGACGUCAAAUCAGCACGGCCCUUACGUCCGGGGCUACACACGUGUUACAAUGGGGGGUACAGAAGGCAGCUACACGGCGACGUGGUGCUAAUCCCAAAAGCCUCUCUCAGUUCGGAUUGGAGUCUGCAACCCGACUCCAUGAAGCUGGAUUCGCUAGUAAUCGCGCAUCAGCCACGGCGCGGUGAAUACGUUCCCGGGCCUUGUACACACCGCCCGUCAAGCCAUGAAAGCCGGGGGUACCUGAAGUACGUAACCGCGAGGAGCGUCCUAGGGUAAAACUGGUGAUUGGGGCU
RNAcentral lists this ribosomal RNA (1448 nucleotides) under uncultured bacterium. RNAcentral describes it as "bacterial SSU rRNA". It matches the Rfam family "Bacterial small subunit ribosomal RNA". The record is from RNAcentral.